Molecule: non-coding RNA, 91 nt
Organism: Crucibulum laeve
Lineage: Eukaryota; Fungi; Basidiomycota; Agaricomycetes; Agaricales; Nidulariaceae
Source: the annotation of a GenBank genome assembly
GGCCUGGUAGCGCAUCUGAAAGCGCGUCUGACACUCUUGCAUACGUGUGAUCAGUGUUUAGAGAGUCCUUGUUCGAAUCAAGGUCAGACCA